RNAcentral lists this transfer RNA (71 nucleotides) under Ovis aries (sheep). It matches the Rfam family "tRNA". Rfam says of the family: Transfer RNA (tRNA) molecules are approximately 80 nucleotides in length. Their secondary structure includes four short double-helical elements and three loops (D, anti-codon, and T loops). The record is from Rfam by way of RNAcentral. Lineage: Eukaryota; Metazoa; Chordata; Mammalia; Artiodactyla; Bovidae.
UCCCUAGUGGCUCAGAUGGUAAACAGUUGCCUGCAAUGCAGGAGACACAGGUUCAAUCCCUGACUGGGGAA